RNAcentral lists this ribosomal RNA (428 nucleotides) under uncultured bacterium. RNAcentral describes it as "bacterial SSU rRNA". It matches the Rfam family "Bacterial small subunit ribosomal RNA", at positions 355 to 776 of the family's 1533-position model. The record is from RNAcentral.
UGGGGAAUCUUGCGCAAUGGGCGAAAGCCUGACGCAGCAACGCCGCGUGAGUGAAGAAGGCCUUCGGGUUGUAAAGCUCUGUCAGGGGGGAAGAAGGCACCUGGGUUAAUAGCCCAAGGGCUGACGGUACCCCCAAAGGAAGCCACGGCUAACUACGUGCCAGCAGCCGCGGUAAUACGUAGGUGGCAAGCGUUGUCCGGAAUCAUUGGGCGUAAAGAGCGCGUAGGUGGCUUGCCAGGUCUGAUGUGAAAACUUGGGGCUCAACCCUAAGCCUGCAUCAGAAACCGGCUUGCUAGAGUCUGGGAGAGGAGAGUGGAAUUCCUGGUGUAGCGGUGAAAUGCGUAGAUAUCAGGAGGAACACCGGUAGCGAAGGCGGCUCUCUGGAACAGCACUGACACUGAGGCGCGAAAGCUAGGGGAGCGAACAGG